RNAcentral lists this non-coding RNA (32 nucleotides) under Rattus norvegicus (Norway rat). Lineage: Eukaryota; Metazoa; Chordata; Mammalia; Rodentia; Muridae. The record is from RNAcentral.
UGAUACCAAGCGCUUACAAUCUGUGAGCCCUU